UACGGGGGGGCAAGCGUUGUUCGGAAUUACUGGGCGUAAAGGGCUCGUAGGCGGCCAACUAAGUCGGAUGUGAAAUCCCCAGGCUUAACCUGGGAACUGCAUCCGAUACUGGAUGGCUUGAAUCCGGGAGAGGGAUGCAGAAUUCCAGGUGUAGCGGUGAAAUGCGUAGAUAUCUGGAGGAACACCGGUGGCGAAGGCGGCGUCCUGGACCAACACUGACACUGAGGAGCGAAAGCCAGGGAGCAAACGGG
RNAcentral lists this ribosomal RNA (251 nucleotides) under uncultured bacterium. Its description in RNAcentral is "partial 16S ribosomal RNA". It matches the Rfam family "Bacterial small subunit ribosomal RNA", at positions 524 to 776 of the family's 1533-position model. The record is from RNAcentral.